RNAcentral lists this ribosomal RNA (468 nucleotides) under uncultured bacterium. Its description in RNAcentral is "partial 16S ribosomal RNA". It matches the Rfam family "Bacterial small subunit ribosomal RNA", at positions 28 to 507 of the family's 1533-position model. The record is from RNAcentral.
GACGAACGCUGGCGGCGUGCUUAACACAUGCAAGUCGAACGGAAAGGCCCUGCUUUUGUGGGGUGCUCGAGUGGCGUACGGGUGAGUAACACGUGAGUAACCUGCCCUUGACUUUGGGAUAACUUCAGGAAACUGGGGCUAAUACCGGAUAGGAGCUCCUGCUGCAUGGUGGGGGUUGGAAAGUUUCGGCGGUUGGGGAUGGACUCGCGGCUUAUCAGCUUGUUGGUGGGGUAGUGGCUUACCAAGGCUUUGACGGGUAGCCGGCCUGAGAGGGUGACCGGCUACAUUGGGACUGAGAUACGGCCCAGACUCCUACGGGAGGCAGCAGUGGGGAAUAUUGCACAAUGGGCGGAAGCCUGAUGCAGCAACGCCGCGUGCGGGAUGACGGCCUUCGGGUUGUAAACCGCUUUCGCCUGUGACGAAGCGUGAGUGACGGUAAUGGGUAAAGAAGCACCGGCUAACUACGUG